Molecule: ribosomal RNA, 301 nt
Filed under: uncultured bacterium
Lineage: Bacteria
Description: partial 16S ribosomal RNA
Rfam family: Bacterial small subunit ribosomal RNA
Source: RNAcentral
CAGCCGCCGCGGGAAUACGUAGGGUGCAAGCGUUAAUCGGAAUUACUGGGCGUAAAGCGUACGCAGGCGGUUAUAUAAGUCAGAUGUGAAAUCCCCGGGCUCAACCUGGGGACUGCAUUUGAGACUGUAUGGCUAGAGUGUGUCAGAGGGGGGUAGAAUUCCACGUGUAGCAGUGAAAUGCGUAGAUAUGUGGAGGAAUACCGAUGGCGAAGGCAGCCCCCUGGGAUAACACUGACGCUCAUGCACGAAAGCGUGGGGAGCAAACAGGAUUAGAUACCCCCGUAGUCCCUGUCUCUUAUAA